Molecule: unclassified non-coding RNA, 489 nt
Filed under: Dermacentor andersoni
Lineage: Eukaryota; Metazoa; Arthropoda; Arachnida; Ixodida; Ixodidae
Description: uncharacterized LOC126530503
Source: RNAcentral
CAGGGUCUGAGCAUGCACUGCAUCAGGCCUAUCUACUGUUACCUCCGGCUGUCUGCCCUGCUGGCUUCAUCGGACAAAACAAGUCGCAGGAAGCUGUACCACGUGCACUGCACUGGGACCACCUGACCAGCACGGUGACGUCGACGGAGACAUCGUGGCACCCGGAUAAAAGCAGCAGCCUUUUCGACAUUCCCUUCAGUGGACUUGGAAGCACCGAAUGAGCACGGAUGCUGAUCAAAUUUUUUCUGAUCGCACAGAGUUCAUCACUUGUGCAUGUGCAACACAUUGGCGGAGGCAAUACGAACUGCAUUUCUCACUAGCUGGACAAGUCGGAAUGGCAAUGCACCUUGGAGAACAAGACUCGAAUUGUGAAAGUCUGGUGGUUUCACAGAACUUUGUUUUAUGUCAAGAUGGGCUGACACCAUGUCACCUGAUGCUGUCACUCUCUGGUAAGCAUGUUAAAAAAAUAAAAACAAUCCAGUUUGAACA